Syngnathus acus (greater pipefish) is the source of this 755-nucleotide long non-coding RNA. RefSeq lists it as uncharacterized. The transcript is spliced from 2 exons. Lineage: Eukaryota; Metazoa; Chordata; Actinopteri; Syngnathiformes; Syngnathidae. The record is from RefSeq and is a predicted model, not a curated record.
GUGAAUAAUUUAAAACUAUUCUACUUGUUAAUACCUACGCGCAAAAUGGGAAAAAAUAAGAUAUUCUAACCGGAGAUUGCAUUGACCUAAUUUUCACAUGGUCCUUGUUUACAUUUUGCAUUUGACACUGACAGCUGUCAAGUGCCACGUUAUGGCUCUUCUUGUGUAAGUUUUAUUUUUUAGGGUUUUUCUUUUGUAAGUUUAACUUUGGGUACUUCGAAAGUGUCAUUUUAAAUUGUACUUUGCUAGGUGUUCGUGUACACGAUGUGUUGUGAUGACAUCUGCUGUGGAGUCUUCAUGUUGUCAAGAAUUUGAAAAGAUGAGCCAAUACUCUGAGCUGGAACCAGAUAAGGCCCCACUAAGCUGCAUCACUGACCACCCAAGUUUCCAGGGCAAUUGUCUAGACCACUGGGUGCUGGAAGUUGCCUAUCUACAAUACAGGCAACAGUACCAUCAGGCUAUGGAUUUUCCACAGCACGAAAAAUACAGACACACAGCAUACAGACAAUUGGUCCGUUGGUGUUGGGGAGUUGUUGGUCGCCACUACAGAAUACCGUUGCCCUCUUGCUGUGUGAGAAAGAUACGGGCCAGCUUCCCUAACCCUCAUGGACAGCCAUACACUGGUUUCAAGUGGCCAACGCUUUGACUCAUUUUCAUGAAUGACUGUCUUUUAUAUUGUAAUAUCAUGACCAGAAAAAUUAUUAUAAUGUAAAAUGAUAUUUUGAGAGUAAACAUACUUUCAUGGUUUUGCCACA